This 103-nucleotide transfer RNA is filed under the name Sclerotinia sclerotiorum 1980 UF-70. It matches the Rfam family "tRNA". Rfam says of the family: Transfer RNA (tRNA) molecules are approximately 80 nucleotides in length. The record is from Rfam by way of RNAcentral. Lineage: Eukaryota; Fungi; Ascomycota; Leotiomycetes; Helotiales; Sclerotiniaceae.
GGUGGUGUGGUGUAAUGGUAGCACGUGACGUUGUGGUUCAUCCUCUAUAGGAUAUCUCACGAAAUGAUCCGUUUCAAUCUGGGUUCGAUUCCCAGCACCGCCA